This 440-nucleotide ribosomal RNA is filed under the name uncultured bacterium. Its description in RNAcentral is "partial 16S ribosomal RNA". It matches the Rfam family "Bacterial small subunit ribosomal RNA", at positions 338 to 795 of the family's 1533-position model. The record is from RNAcentral.
CCUACGGGAGGCAGCAGUGGGGAAUAUUGCACAAUGGGGGAAACCCUGAUGCAGCGACGCCGCGUGAGUGAAGAAGUAUUUCGGUACGUAAAGCUCUAUCAGCAGGGAAGAAAAUGACGGUACCUGACGAAGAAGCCCCGGCUCACGACGUGCCAGCGGCCGCGGUAAGACGUAGGGGGCAAGCGUUAUCCGGAUUUACUGGGUGUAAAGGGAGCGUAGAAGGCAGCGCAAGUCUGAGUUGAAAUCCCAUGGCUUAACCAUGGAACUGCUUUGGAAACUGUGCAGCUGGAGUGCAGGAGAGGAUAGUGGAAUUCCAGGUGUAGGAGUGAAAUCCGUAGAUAUCUGGAGGAACAUCAGUGGCGAAGGCGACUAUCUGGCACAUAACUGACGCUGAGCCGCGAAAGCGUGGGUAGCAAACAGGAUUAGAUACCCGAGUAGUC